Non-coding RNA from Rhododendron molle, 75 nucleotides. Lineage: Eukaryota; Viridiplantae; Streptophyta; Magnoliopsida; Ericales; Ericaceae. The record is from the annotation of a GenBank genome assembly.
AUCUGUGUGGUGUAGUCGGUUAUCAUGCUAGUCUUACACACUAAGAGGUCCCCGGUUUGAACCCGGGCUCAGACA